Non-coding RNA from Gossypium hirsutum (cotton), 107 nucleotides. Lineage: Eukaryota; Viridiplantae; Streptophyta; Magnoliopsida; Malvales; Malvaceae. The record is from Rfam.
AAUCCAUGAUGAUGACACUUCCUUAACAUUGACUUCAAAUGCUCCUAUGCUUCGUACAAACACUAACCUUUGUAUUGUUUAAAAUUGAUGAUUUCUCAUCUGAGCUU